This 505-nucleotide ribosomal RNA is filed under the name uncultured bacterium. RNAcentral's name for it is "partial 16S ribosomal RNA". It matches the Rfam family "Bacterial small subunit ribosomal RNA", at positions 28 to 507 of the family's 1533-position model. The record is from RNAcentral.
GACGAACGCUGGCGGCGUGCCUAAUACAUGCAAGUAGAACGCACAGUUUAUACCGUAGCUUGCUACACCAUAGACUGUGAGUUGCGAACGGGUGAGUAACGCGUCGGUAACCUGCCUGGUAGCGGGGGCUAACUACGGGAAACGAUAGCUAAUACCGCAUCAUAUUAAUUAUUGCAUGAUAUUUGAUUGAAAGAUGCAACUGCAUCACUACCAGAUGGACCUGCGUUGUAUUAGCUAGUCGGUGAGGUAACGGCUCACCUAGGUGACGGUACAUAGCCGGCCUGGGAAGGUGGACGGGCACACUGGGACUGGGACACGGCUCAGGCUCCUUCGGGAGGCAGCAGGAGGGAAUCUUCGGAAAUGGGCGAAAGGCUGGACGAGCAACGCCGCGUGGGUGAAGAAGGGUUUCGGGGCGUAAAGCUCUGUUGUGAGGGAAGAACGGGUGCGAGGGUGGAAAGUUCACACUGUGACGGUAUCUUACCAGAAAGGGACGGCUAACUACGUG